RNAcentral lists this small nuclear RNA (22 nucleotides) under Arabidopsis thaliana (thale cress). RNAcentral's name for it is "snRNA_15044". Lineage: Eukaryota; Viridiplantae; Streptophyta; Magnoliopsida; Brassicales; Brassicaceae. The record is from RNAcentral.
AAGAUGCUUCUCCGGAGUUGGU